UUUAGUGGCUUGAAGCAAUCACUCUAUUAGGAUCAUGAAUUCUACAGGUAAGGAAUUCAGGUGGAACCCUGGGGAAGGGUUUCCCCUGUCCUGUGAUGCCUCAGUUAGGAUAUCCUGAGCUUGGGGAUGACUCAUUAACUAUGGGCUGGAGCCAUCUGAAGUCUCCUUAGCACAUAUCUGGUGCCUAGAUUGAACUGACUCAAGGACGAAGACUGAUGACUGAAGUAAUUACAUAAGGCCUCUCUUGGCAACCACAGACCAUGAUGGUCAGAGAGUGGUAGGAUUUCAUUCCCAGGGACCACAAGAAAUAAGUUAAUUAGCUGUUUCAGUUCUUCAUACUAGAAUCAGGCAGAUCUACAUUCUAUCUCUAAAAUGACUAGAAUUUUCUAUUCUUCACCUUCAACAGAGCCAGAUAAAAGACCUGGAUCCUGCCCAAUUUCACUGAUGUUCUAUGCUGCAACUCACUUAAUGGAUCAGCCUGGACGGAAUAUCCCCAUUAGCAUUGCUGCCACUGGAUCCUGGCUGCUGCUCUAGCAUGAAGCCCCGGAACCGCUUUGAGUUAGCUGCUCAGCUGCCUCCAGAACCACCCUCAUCUACUGCUGAUUUUGUCACUUCCUAAAGCUCCAGCAUUCCCAUAUAAAGCUUCCUGCUGACCAAACCUAGGAGACAUGUCUGCAUCUUAGCUCUCGGGGUGAAAAGAGGGAAUGAAUGUUCCUUCUGGUUCCCCAAAGGUAUUUCCAUAACAAGAUUCCUACCAGAUAAAAAGGGGUCUUAGAUUCUGAGCAGACAAAAAUGAAGGACAUACCCAUUGAACAUGCUUAAUCUGAUUAUUUAAUAAUUAAAUGAAUGGGUGAAAUAACAGGAAGAUUUAAUUAGUUUAUGCAACUACUCUAAUAAAAAGAAUUCGAAGCUGCUAGCCUUAGUGUUGAACUGUGACUGGGUAAAUCAUUUAACCUCGUGAGUUCUCUUGUCUUACAUAUAAAAUGAGAGUUUGGCCUCUGAUCUCA
This 1007-nucleotide long non-coding RNA is filed under the name Bos grunniens (domestic yak). Its description in RNAcentral is "lncRNA (ENSBGRG00000018897.1)". Lineage: Eukaryota; Metazoa; Chordata; Mammalia; Artiodactyla; Bovidae. The record is from RNAcentral.